UCUAUUUAAUUUAAAACGAAUGUAAUUGAUGUAACGCAUCUAAUACUAAGUUUCAACAACGGAUCUCUUGGCUCUCGCAUCGAUGAAGAACGCAGCGAAAUGCGAUAAGUAAUGUGAAUUGCAGAAUUCAGUGAAUCAUCGAAUCUUUGAACG
This 153-nucleotide ribosomal RNA is filed under the name uncultured Ceratobasidium. RNAcentral describes it as "5.8S ribosomal RNA". The stretch from base 48 to 153 matches the Rfam family "5.8S ribosomal RNA", at positions 1 to 106 of the family's 154-position model. From Rfam's summary of the family: 5.8S ribosomal RNA (5.8S rRNA) is a component of the large subunit of the eukaryotic ribosome. It is transcribed by RNA polymerase I as part of the 45S precursor that also contains 18S and 28S rRNA. The record is from RNAcentral. Lineage: Eukaryota; Fungi; Basidiomycota; Agaricomycetes; Cantharellales; Ceratobasidiaceae.